This 2231-nucleotide long non-coding RNA is filed under the name Canis lupus familiaris (dog). RNAcentral's name for it is "lncRNA (ENSCAFG00845016856.1)". Lineage: Eukaryota; Metazoa; Chordata; Mammalia; Carnivora; Canidae. The record is from RNAcentral.
CACGCGCCCCAUCCCCCCACGGGCCCUCGCCCCGCCCUCCCCAGCCCGGCUCCUCCCGUGGGAGCGGAAGCGGCGGGCAGCGGGUGUCCUGAGGCCGAGGAUUCAGCGGAAACGGAGCGGCGAGAGGCGAGAGGCGGAGAAGCUACGGAGGGAGGCCGGCCCCGGGGCUGCGAGAAGGGGCGGACCUGGGCCCCAGCCCCGCACACCCGGGGUCCGCAGGCGCGAACCGCACACGCGCGCAGUACAACCCGCAACCCGCGGCCGCAGCGCCAGGUGCGCACCUGCGGCCGACGCUCCGUGCGCUCCGGGGUCCCGCACCCGCGCGCGGCGGCCUCGCUCCACUCGCCCUGCACCCACCCCAGGACACCCCAGCGCGGCCCCAGCGUGUCCCCCGCUCAGCGGACACCUGCCACCAGCCACAAAGCAGAUGGUGAAGAGGAAGUUAUCAAAGUCAGCCCCUCCCAGGCUACCUCGGUGAGCAGUGAGCACCCUAUCUGGGGAGGUGACCCAGCAAAGGUAAGAGGAAGCCAGGUGUUGGCCUGGCAGGGACUAUGCUUCCAAGAACGUUUCAACUCCCUCUGCUGCCUCCGUUCUCGCCUCCAUUCUCACCUCUUCCCCUGCCCAGAAGAGCCCAUAGUCUGGGCUGUCACUUCUCUAUCAUCUCCCCCCAUGUCUGCAUCCCGCCCCAAAGUUCCACUCACUCUGUCUUCCUGUCAUUUGAUCCUCUUUUGGCCCAGAACUUCUGGAAUGCUGGCCAAAGGUGACAUCUAGCCCUCCUACUUGGCCCCACAAGCCAGGGAAAAAUAUCAGAAAUAUUUGGCUCCUAGGCUCUCUGCUCCUCUGACACUUAGUGACAGUUGAGCCUGCAGCCCCUCACUGUGGGCCAGCGUGCAGAGUGUGUGUAGUGUGCACGUGUGUGCCAACAUGCGUAUAUUACUGGGUAGUGCACAGAUGUGUGUCUCUGCAGCAGUCCACAGCGAAGGAAAAACAUGCUUGGAUCUAGAGCCAGGUUGGACCUAGGUUUGUAUCUUUGCUUAGGCUCUAACCAGUACUGGAACGUCAGGCCAGUCGCUUGCCCUCUACCAGCAGUAGCUCCCUGUCUGUAAAGUUGGAAUGACCAUUGAGGAGCUGGCCCAGGCCAGCCUGGCCUGCCUCCUCCACCCCCACCUUGUUCAGUCAGCUCCAAACGUGCUCCUUUUUUUCUAGUCCUUGUACAAACCAAAUUCGUCCUGCCUUGGGCCCCUGGUCCUAGCCCUGUCUUAAUUUACUCACAGUACUUGCCAAAGUUUGAAAUGAUCUCACUUGUGUAUUAAAUUAUUUAUCAUCUGUCCCUCCCAAACCCACCAGAAAGAACCUAAAGGGCAGCAAUGCCACAUUCUUACGUCUAGCACAGAGCCAGCUCCUUCUGGGUGGUCAAUGAAUUGUCAAAAGAAUGAAUGUAAAGUGCUCAGCGCAAUGCCCCACAUAUAAUAAAAGCUCAGAAUUGCUGAGUAUUAUUUUUUAAGAUUUUAUUUAUUUAUUCAUGAGAGACACACAGAGAGAGAGAGGCAGAGACACAGGCAGAGGGAGAAGCAGGCUCUACGCAGGGAGCCUGACAUGGGACUUGAUUCCUGGUCCCCAGGCUCAGGCCCUGGGUUGAAGGCGGCGCUAAGCCGCUGAGCCACCCGGGCUGCCCAGCUGGGUAUUUUUAUUAAGUAGGUGCAAAUGGCUGUCAUUACCUGUAGGGAAUGAACAGCUCUGCUCAACAGUUCUUUUCUUUUUUUUAAGACUGUAUUUAUUUAUUUAUUUAUUUAUUUAUUUAUUUAUUUAUUCAUGAGAGAAACACAAAGAGAGGCAGAGACACAGGCAGUGGGAGACGCAAGCCCUCUGUGGGGAGCCCGAUGUGGGACUCGAUCCCAGGACCCUGGGAUCAUGACUUGAACAGAAGGCAGAUGCUCAACCACUGAGCCACCCAGGCACCUCUGCUCAACAAUUCUUACAGCAAGUAUUUAUUUGAUCCUAUAUGAUGAUGAGUCAUGAGAGAAACAGGAAUAUGAAGCCCAGGGCCUGCUGUUAAGGAGCACAUGGGAUCCCUGGGAAGACAAAGACUUGGGGAAAAUAAUAAGACUGUUGGGAUCAUGGCUCACUGCAUUACUCUAACAAGACUGGAAGUGAGUAUCGCUACUCCAUUUUUUAGAUUAGAAGCCAGGGCUCUGACAGGCCGACAUGCCUAAGGUCACUCACCCUGUCUG